This 926-nucleotide ribosomal RNA is filed under the name uncultured Bacteroidota bacterium. Its description in RNAcentral is "bacterial SSU rRNA". It matches the Rfam family "Bacterial small subunit ribosomal RNA", at positions 1 to 917 of the family's 1533-position model. The record is from RNAcentral. Lineage: Bacteria; Pseudomonadati; Bacteroidota.
UGGAUCCAGACUUUGAUUAUGGCUCAGGAUGAACGCUAGCUACAGGCUUAACACAUGCAAGUCGAGGGGAAACGACAUCGAAAGCUUGCUUUUGAUGGGCGUCGACCGGCGCACGGGUGAGUAACGCGUAUCCAACCUGCCCAUCACUUGGGGAUAACCUUGCGAAAGUAAGACUAAUACCCAAUGAUAUCUCUAGAAGACAUCUGAAAGAGAUUAAAGAUUUAUCGGUGAUGGAUGGGGAUGCGUCUGAUUAGCUUGUUGGCGGGGUAACGGCCCACCAAGGCGACGAUCAGUAGGGGUUCUGAGAGGAAGGUCCCCCACAUUGGAACUGAGACACGGUCCAAACUCCUACGGGAGGCAGCAGUGAGGAAUAUUGGUCAAUGGACGAGAGUCUGAACCAGCCAAGUAGCGUGCAGGAUGACGGCCCUAUGGGUUGUAAACUGCUUUUAUAAGGGAAUAAAGUGAGUCUCGUGAGACUUUUUGCAUGUACCUUAUGAAUAAGGACCGGCUAAUUCCGUGCCAGCAGCCGCGGUAAUACGGAAGGUCCGGGCGUUAUCCGGAUUUAUUGGGUUUAAAGGGAGCGUAGGCCGGAGAUUAAGCGUGUUGUGAAAUGUAGACGCUCAACGUCUGCACUGCAGCGCGAACUGGUUUCCUUGAGUACGCACAAAGUGGGCGGAAUUCGUGGUGUAGCGGUGAAAUGCUUAGAUAUCACGAAGAACUCCGAUUGCGAAGGCAGCUCACUGGAGCGCAACUGACGCUGAAGCUCGAAAGUGCGGGUAUCGAACAGGAUUAGAUACCCUGGUAGUCCGCACGGUAAACGAUGGAUGCCCGCUGUUGGUCUGAAUAGGUCAGCGGCCAAGCGAAAGCAUUAAGCAUCCCACCUGGGGAGUACGCCGGCAACGGUGCAACUCAAAGGAAUUGACGGA